Molecule: ribosomal RNA, 746 nt
Filed under: Acinetobacter baumannii
Lineage: Bacteria; Pseudomonadati; Pseudomonadota; Gammaproteobacteria; Moraxellales; Moraxellaceae
Description: bacterial SSU rRNA
Rfam family: Bacterial small subunit ribosomal RNA
Source: RNAcentral
GCUUAGGAAUCUGCCUAUUAGUGGGGGACAACAUCUCGAAAGGGAUGCUAAUACCGCAUACGUCCUACGGGAGAAAGCAGGGGAUCUUCGGACCUUGCGCUAAUAGAUGAGCCUAAGUCGGAUUAGCUAGUUGGUGGGGUAAAGGCCUACCAAGGCGACGAUCUGUAGCGGGUCUGAGAGGAUGAUCCGCCACACUGGGACUGAGACACGGCCCAGACUCCUACGGGAGGCAGCAGUGGGGAAUAUUGGACAAUGGGGGGAACCCUGAUCCAGCCAUGCCGCGUGUGUGAAGAAGGCCUUAUGGUUGUAAAGCACUUUAAGCGAGGAGGAGGCUACUUUAGUUAAUACCUAGAGAUAGUGGACGUUACUCGCAGAAUAAGCACCGGCUAACUCUGUGCCAGCAGCCGCGGUAAUACAGAGGGUGCGAGCGUUAAUCGGAUUUACUGGGCGUAAAGCGUGCGUAGGCGGCUUAUUAAGUCGGAUGUGAAAUCCCCGAGCUUAACUUGGGAAUUGCAUUCGAUACUGGUGAGCUAGAGUAUGGGAGAGGAUGGUAGAAUUCCAGGUGUAGCGGUGAAAUGCGUAGAGAUCUGGAGGAAUACCGAUGGCGAAGGCAGCCAUCUGGCCUAAUACUGACGCUGAGGUACGAAAGCAUGGGGAGCAAACAGGAUUAGAUACCCUGGUAGUCCAUGCCGUAAAACGAUGUCUACUAGCCGUUGGGGCCGUUUGAGGCUUUAGUGGCGCAGCUA